Molecule: unclassified non-coding RNA, 783 nt
Filed under: uncultured Prochlorococcus sp.
Lineage: Bacteria; Bacillati; Cyanobacteriota; Cyanophyceae; Synechococcales; Prochlorococcaceae
Description: partial 16S-23S ribosomal RNA intergenic spacer; may also contain 16S ribosomal RNA and 23S ribosomal RNA
Rfam family: tRNA (bases 360-432)
Source: RNAcentral
UUGUGGAGGAGGACGCCGNAGGUGGGGCUGAUGACUGGGGUGAAGUCGUAACAAGGUAGCCGUACCGGAAGGUGCGGCUGGAUCACCUCCUAACCAGGGAGACAAAACUGAUUUAGAUGUUUGAGCAAUUUUAUUCUCAAGCCUAAAUCCUGUCACCUUAGGUCGAUCGGUACCUCAAAUUUAAAGCAGUUAUUUAGUGAGUUUUCAUUAGAUUGAAUUGUUAAUUGAUUUCAGUUCCUAAACUUUGUCUAGGUCACACCCAACAAGGGUACUCCUGGGCCAUUAGCUCAGGUGGUUAGAGCGCACCCCUGAUAAGGGUGAGGUCCCUGGUUCAAGUCCAGGAUGGCCCAUUCGGUGUUGGGGGUAUAGCUCAGUUGGUAGAGCGCCUGCUUUGCAAGCAGGAUGUCAGCGGUUCGAGUCCGCUUACCUCCACUGAUCAACCUCCUGAUAGCGAACUCGAAGGAGAUGAGCUUUUGAUUGGGGUGAUUUAGUUUUUGUUUAGGCUGAUUAUUGAACCUAGCUUCUUAUCAUUCAUUUUUUCAAUUUGAAAAUGUUGAUAUGACGCUGGGCUCACUGAGAUUCGAAAGGAUUUCAAGAUGUUCAGCAGAACCUUGACAACUGCAUAGGUAAGUCUGGAAAGAAUAAAGCAUCUCAUAGAUACAUUAUUCUCAAUUUAUUUAAUUUUGAAUAAUGUCUAAUUCUAGAGAAAGAGCCGAGACUCUAUAGAUAUAGAUACGUGAUUUCCACAUUCUUCUCUAUAGAGAUUUAUUGGUCAAGCUACAA